GGGCCAUAGCUCAGCGGUGGAGCAUUUGCCUUGCAUGCACAAGGUUGCAGGUUCAAUCCCUGACAGCCAACA
Molecule: non-coding RNA, 72 nt
Organism: Podarcis lilfordi (Lilford's wall lizard)
Lineage: Eukaryota; Metazoa; Chordata; Lepidosauria; Squamata; Lacertidae
Source: the annotation of a GenBank genome assembly